GUGCCAGCAGCCGCGGUAAUACGUAGGUGGCAAGCGUUGUCCGGAUUUAUUGGGUUUAAAGGGUGCGUAGGCGGUCUAUUAAGUCAGCGGUGAAAUACUCCAGCUUAACUGGAGGGGUGCCAUUGAUACUGAUGGACUUGAGUCAAGUCGAGGUAGGCGGAAUUGACGGUGUAGCGGUGAAAUGCUUAGAUAUCGUCAAGAACACCAAUAGUGAAGACAGCUUACUGGGCUUAAACUGACGCUGAGGCACGAAAGUGUGGGGAUCAAACAGGAUUAGAUACCCUGGUAGUCC
Molecule: ribosomal RNA, 292 nt
Filed under: uncultured bacterium
Lineage: Bacteria
Description: partial 16S ribosomal RNA
Rfam family: Bacterial small subunit ribosomal RNA
Source: RNAcentral